UCCCCGUUUAAGCGAGGCAGUCUGUCCAGAGUGCUUCCCGAUCUAUCGGGAGUGGCAACAGGACACAAGGGUUGCGCUCGUUGCGGGACUUAACCCAACAUUUCACGACACGAGCUGACGACAGCCAUGCAGCACCUGUGCAAGCUCCCCUUGCGGGGUCGUCCCACUUUCAUGGUUCUACCACUUGCAUGUCAAGGCCAGGUAAGGUUCUUCGCGUUGCAUCGAAUUAAGCCACAUACUCCACCGCUUGUGCAGGCUCCCGUCAAUUUCUUUGAGUUUUAAUCUUGCGACCGUACUUCCCAGGCGGCACGUUUAGCGCGUUAGCUUCGCCACAAGCAGGGUCGAAUCCGCUUACAGCAAACGUGCACCGUUUACGGCUAGGACUAC
RNAcentral lists this unclassified non-coding RNA (387 nucleotides) under uncultured Verrucomicrobiae bacterium. RNAcentral's name for it is "contains 16S-23S intergenic spacer region". The record is from RNAcentral. Lineage: Bacteria; Pseudomonadati; Verrucomicrobiota; Verrucomicrobiia.